This 71-nucleotide transfer RNA is filed under the name Marmota monax (woodchuck). RNAcentral's name for it is "tRNA.Val". The stretch from base 7 to 64 matches the Rfam family "tRNA", at positions 8 to 63 of the family's 71-position model. Rfam says of the family: Transfer RNA (tRNA) molecules are approximately 80 nucleotides in length. The record is from RNAcentral. Lineage: Eukaryota; Metazoa; Chordata; Mammalia; Rodentia; Sciuridae.
GCGAUAUAGCUCAGUUGGUAGAGUGCCUGCCUCACAUGCACAAGUUCCUGGGUUUAAUCCCCAGCAACACA